GUCUACAUCAGUCAUAGCAUCCACAGCUUGAACAUCAGAAACAGAGAUUUCCAGGAAUGGCUUUGACAUCAUGUGAAAGAUCAAAUCAGAUCUAUAUGAAGCCAUUGGGACCGGUAAUUAGAAGAUUUGGAGCAAGGUGUCAUCAGUUUCUUGAUACAACCCAGUUCUUAUUCUCUGCAUCAACUGAGUCGGGUGCUUGGAUGUAGUGGUAGGCUGUAUGAGA
Molecule: long non-coding RNA, 223 nt
Organism: Rhineura floridana
Lineage: Eukaryota; Metazoa; Chordata; Lepidosauria; Squamata; Rhineuridae
Exons: 3
Source: RefSeq, a predicted model, not a curated record